AUUACAAGAAGAAGAAUAAAC
RNAcentral lists this small RNA (21 nucleotides) under Arabidopsis thaliana (thale cress). Its description in RNAcentral is "ATSL071660". The record is from RNAcentral. Lineage: Eukaryota; Viridiplantae; Streptophyta; Magnoliopsida; Brassicales; Brassicaceae.